CAGCCGCCGCGGUAACACGGAGGGUGCAAGCGUUAAUCGGAAUUACUGGGCGUAAAGCGCACGCAGGCGGUUUGCUAAGUCAGAUGUGAAAUCCCCGAGCUUAACUUGGGAACUGCAUUUGAAACUGGCAAGCUAGAGUCUUGUAGAGGGGGGUAGAAUUCCAGGUGUAGCGGUGAAAUGCGUAGAGAUCUGGAGGAAUACCGGUGGCGAAGGCGGCCCCCUGGACAAAGACUGACGCUCAGGUGCGAAAGCGUGGGGAGCAAACAGGAUUAGAUACCCGCGUAGUCCCUGUCUCUUAUAC
This 301-nucleotide ribosomal RNA is filed under the name uncultured bacterium. RNAcentral describes it as "partial 16S ribosomal RNA". It matches the Rfam family "Bacterial small subunit ribosomal RNA", at positions 509 to 807 of the family's 1533-position model. The record is from RNAcentral.